UACGUAGGGGGCAAGCGUUGUCCGGAUUUAUUGGGCGUAAAGAGCGUGUAGGCGGCUUGGUAGGUCCGCUGUGAAAACUCGAGGCUCAACCUCGAGAUGUCGGCGGAAACCACUUGGCUAGAGUCCGGAAGAGGAGAGUGGAAUUCCUGGUGUAGCGGUGAAAUGCGCAGAUAUCAGGAGGAACACCCGUGGCGAAAGCGGCUCUCUGGGACGGUACUGACGCUGAGACGCGAAAGCGUGGGGAGCGAACAGG
This 253-nucleotide ribosomal RNA is filed under the name uncultured bacterium. RNAcentral's name for it is "partial 16S ribosomal RNA". It matches the Rfam family "Bacterial small subunit ribosomal RNA", at positions 524 to 776 of the family's 1533-position model. The record is from RNAcentral.